CUACGGGGUGCACCAGUGAGGAAUAUUGCACAAUGGGGGGAACCCUGAUGCAGCAACGCCGCGUGGAGGAUGACGCAUUUCGGUGUGUAAACUCCUUUUAUAUGUCAAGAAAAUGACGGUAGCAUAUGAAUAAGCACCGGCUAACUCCGUGCCAGCAGCCGCGGUAAUACGGAGGGUGCAAGCGUUACUCGGAAUCACUGGGCGUAAAGGAGGCGUAGGCGGGCUUGUAAGUCAGGUGUGAAAUCCUACAGCUUAACUGUAGAACUGCACUUGAAACUACGAGCCUAGAGUAUGGGAGGGGCAGAUGGAAUUGGUGGUGUAGGGGUAAAAUCCGUAGAUAUCACUAGGAAUACCUAAAGCGAAGGCGAUCUGCUGGAACAUAACUGACGCUAAGGCGUGAAAGCGUGGGGAGCAAACAGGAUUAGAUACCCCUGUAGUC
This 439-nucleotide ribosomal RNA is filed under the name uncultured bacterium. RNAcentral's name for it is "partial 16S ribosomal RNA". It matches the Rfam family "Bacterial small subunit ribosomal RNA", at positions 339 to 795 of the family's 1533-position model. The record is from RNAcentral.